GAAGAUAUAGCUCAGUGGUAGAGUGCAUGCUUAGUAUGCACAAGGUCAUGGGUUUGAUCCCCAGUACCUUCA
RNAcentral lists this transfer RNA (72 nucleotides) under Camelus bactrianus (Bactrian camel). It matches the Rfam family "tRNA". From Rfam's summary of the family: Transfer RNA (tRNA) molecules are approximately 80 nucleotides in length. The record is from Rfam by way of RNAcentral. RNAcentral also lists the same sequence under 2 other names. Lineage: Eukaryota; Metazoa; Chordata; Mammalia; Artiodactyla; Camelidae.